Molecule: transfer RNA, 49 nt
Filed under: Oligocottus snyderi (fluffy sculpin)
Lineage: Eukaryota; Metazoa; Chordata; Actinopteri; Perciformes; Cottidae
Description: partial tRNA-Val
Source: RNAcentral
GUACCUCCCUUACACUGAGAAGUCGCCCGUGCAAACCGGGCCGCCCUGA